UUCAAAAGUUCACUUUUCGCGCUUGUUGCAGAAAACGCUGUAUGCAACAAGUUCCGAAAAGUAGUUGUUUUCGUCACACGAUGUGAUUAUCAACUCACAUCUUGUGACGAAAACAACCAUUUUUCGCAGCUUG
This is a long non-coding RNA of Bradysia coprophila, 133 nucleotides long. NCBI's taxonomy places the organism in Eukaryota, Metazoa, Arthropoda, Insecta, Diptera, Sciaridae. The record is from RefSeq and is a predicted model, not a curated record.